RNAcentral lists this small RNA (191 nucleotides) under Gopherus agassizii (Agassiz's desert tortoise). RNAcentral's name for it is "TUC338 (ENSGAGG00000021896.1)". Lineage: Eukaryota; Metazoa; Chordata; Testudines; Testudinidae. The record is from RNAcentral.
GGGUUAAUAGCCCUGGAGACCAGAGUCUUCUAUUGGUUUGUAGAAAUGGCAGACCUGACAGCAGCUGUAUGAGCUUCCUGCCACUCCACCCUGCCAAUGUGCCUCAGCCCUGUUCUGGAGAGACCAGCUCUAGGCAGGAGAAGGCAGGAAGAGCAGUUCGAUUUCCAAGGACCACACCAUCCCUGGCCACU